UACGUAGGUGGCAAGCGUUGUCCGGAUUUAUUGGGUUUAAAGGGUGCGUAGGUGGUCUAUUAAGUCAGUGCUGAAAUAUCCCGGCUUAACCGGGAGGGUGGCAUUGAUACUGAUGGACUUGAGUAGAGUUGAGGUAGGCGGAGUUGACGGUGUAGCGGUGAAAUGCUUAGAUAUCGUCAAGAACACCUAUUGCGAAGGCAGCUUACUAAGCUCUAACUGACACUGAGGCACGAAAGUGUGGGGAUCAAACAGG
RNAcentral lists this ribosomal RNA (253 nucleotides) under uncultured bacterium. RNAcentral's name for it is "partial 16S ribosomal RNA". It matches the Rfam family "Bacterial small subunit ribosomal RNA", at positions 524 to 776 of the family's 1533-position model. The record is from RNAcentral.